RNAcentral lists this ribosomal RNA (500 nucleotides) under uncultured Glomeromycotina. RNAcentral describes it as "partial small subunit ribosomal RNA". It matches the Rfam family "Eukaryotic small subunit ribosomal RNA", at positions 591 to 1092 of the family's 1831-position model. The record is from RNAcentral. Lineage: Eukaryota; Fungi; Glomeromycota.
CCAAUAGCGUAUAUUAAAGUUGUUGCAGUUAAAAAGCUCGUAGUUGAAUUUCGGGAUCAAUAUGUUGGUCGUGCCAUUGGUACGUACUGGCAUUAUUGGUUUCUACCUUCUGACGAACCAUGAUGUCAUUUAUUUGGUGUCGUGGGGAAUCAGGACUGUUACUUUGAAAAAAUUAGAGUGUUUAAAGCAGGCUCACGCUUGAAUACAUUAGCAUGGAAUAAUGAAAUAGGACGUUUGAUUCUAUUUUGUUGGUUUCUAGGAUCGACGUAAUGAUUAAUAGGGAUAGUUGGGGGCAUUAGUAUUCAAUUGUCAGAGGUGAAAUUCUUGGAUUUAUUGAAGACUAACUACUGCGAAAGCAUUUGCCAAGGAUGUUUUCAUUAAUCAAGAACGAAAGUUAGGGGAUCGAAGACGAUCAGAUACCGUCGUAGUCUUAACCAUAAACUAUGCCGACUAGGGAUCGGAUGAUGUUAAUUUUUUAAUGACUCAUUCGGCGCCUUACG